CAUGCUGUCAUGCCCUCUCUCUCUCUCUCUCAAAAACAAAUAAACAUUAAAAAAAAAAAAGAAUCUUAUACUUUGUAGAUUUCAGUAAUAUGAUGGAAAGAAAAGUAUAAUUCCAUUAAAGUAAGACAGGAAUAUAUAUGAAGCUUACUGGGAUCAAAGACAGUUAUUGUAAGAAGGAAAAAUUAGCUAUCUUACAGCAAGAUGGCAGACGCUGCUAAAGAUUGUAAAAAUGUUAGCAAAGGUCUUAGAUGUCCAAAAGCUGCAUAAUCUAUGUUUCCUGGGUGCUUCUAAAAAUAGCAUGAGGUGGUGAAAUGUACUAGCGAAGUGUCUAUACCAGUUAAUGGUAUUUAUUAUUAUUUUAUUGUGGUGGCCAAUGCCAAUUAAAAUAACUUAACAUGAUGAAUAAUUAAAUGGUAAAAAAAAAAAAAAAAAGUUGGCCUAAAAGUAAAGGUGGAGGGUAAAACUAAAUAUUUAGAAAGGUAAAUCCGGAGGGGAGAAAAGUUGAACUCCCCAGCAUUACACCAUGUGAUCUCCCAAGCCGGGAGAGAUUUAUUGCUUGAGGAGGAACUUUCUUGUAUUGUAAUUUUCUACUUUUAGAUCUAGGAGGUAGCCAGAGGGGUGUUAUCUCCCUUGAGGACACACAAAAGGGGAUUUCUCCUUUGUUGUAAAGUCCAUAGCAUUCUGUACUUGCAUGGUUUUAUUUACUAGGGUCUGUCAUAAAGUCCAUGAGGAAAGGACUGGAUCUUGUUCACCUCUGUGUGGUAUAUAGUACCUCACAUCUCUAGGUAGGAAUGAAUGAAUGAAUGAAUGAACAAAAGAACGAGCACUGCAAAAAAAUUGAGAAGCUUUCCUAUUUUAAGGUCUCUUUUUGUUCCCUGGUGGAUGGAUUAAUAUGUAUUUCAAAGGCGCUCAAAUAAGCACAUACUGAGCGACUAAGAAUUAAGAGUGAUUCAUUACGCUAGAAUUUUUCCUCCUGCAGGAGCCAGUCCCCCUGGAGUCCCUAGUCCCCUUUCCCUGGGACAUCUCAGCAGGAAAUUUCUACAGUAUGUCUCCCACAAGGGUGAUGAAUGUUAGAAGCAUUGCAGCAGACGGUGGCCGGGCCCACCCAGAUAGGCAGGCAAAAGUAAAUACCAGUCCUUAUUAGGAGCUCCUGGCUUCCACCUGUGCGUUGGCCUUGAAACACACGCAGCUUCCCGCUCUGUCACAGAAAGAAAGCUGACCUCUCCCGCCACCGCCUCCACACGACGGUUUUCCCGCUCUCCCGGAACUUCUAGUCUAGGCACCACUUCCUUCGCUCCUCGCUCAGUUGUGGGAGGAGGAAUUUACCACCAUGUACUGCCGCGCCCUCUCGUGGCCACAGGAGGAACUCAGCCAAGCGUUGCAGAGAUGCAGUGACAAUGGCAGAGGGCUCUGUUCAAGAAACCCUGGGAGCCUGCCUCCGCCCCUCAAGGACCAUUCCACACGUUCAUUUUUUAACUAGUUAUAUAUGUCAAAGAGGAGCAGAGGGACAGACGGAUGGAUUAGGGUUCACAUGAGCUGUGGCUGACAGAAUUCUGAUUUUCCAAAACUGGUCUAACACAGAGGUAGACAUGGUGAUGUUAGUUGGGGUGGGAGAAGAUUCAUACCAUGUAUUCGUUUAGUGACCCCAAAGAUUUCAAAAUAUAUUAUCAUUUGUAUUUAAUGACCAUGAAAUGCUCUAAACUAAUUAAGGUAUCAUGUUUUGAUUCACAAUUUUUACAUCAAACCAUUUCUUCCUGGGGGUUGGGAGGGAGGGGAAAGUGGGUGAUGGGCAUUGAGGAGGGCACCUGUUGGGAUGAGCACUGGCUGUUGUAUGGAAACCAAUUUGGCAAUAAAUUUCAUAUUUAAAAAAAUAUAUAAUUAGCCUAAGUGCUAAGUAUGUGUUUAUUUUUCUAGUGUUAUAUGGGCAUGUAUAUAAUGUGCCCAGGGAAUCUGACAAUUUGUAUCAAUUCAUUGUUGUCCUUGAUGCAGUAUUCAACUUUAUCAAUUCCUACAGUCUUAGUAACUCCGUAGCAUAGUUUUGUUUUUGUCUUAGGGAUCACCUAUAAAAACUACGUAUUUGUUCCCCAGAAAACUCCCAAGUGUAUAUGGUCACUAAUGAUAACAACUGUUUUUAUAUUCACCGAUACUAAGUUAAAGAUACUUAUAUUAUUCACUGAUAUUCGAGGGAAAAUGUACAGCAAGAGGAAAUAAAUAUAUUUGCUUCUCAAAACAAAACCCAUUUCUUCCUUGUUUUAUUCUCUAAAAAAUUCUAAGAUUUACCUGAUUAUAUUUGCAUUUAUCAAGCCUAUCUUUUAAAUUUUGUAUUCAUGGUUUUUCUUUUGUCCCUUUCUUCUGAAUCCUGGGAGAACUUUGACAUCAGUGAUAUGAUUUUUUUGAGCUGUCAAUUUUUUUAAUUAUGUUUUAGCUCUUACCAAUGCUUCUUACAGUUGUGAAGUUUUGGUACUCAACAUUGUUUGAUUCAAUUAUAUGCAGUUUUGUUUUUUAGUGGGGGAGAAAAAAUUUGUUUUCCUAAUAGAAAGUAUUUCUGAAAACUUAUGCUUACUGUAUAAAAUAAAUUAAUUUAUUAAAAUUGAAAUCAGAGGGGCAGCAUAAUAAAUAAAAAUUUUAAUUUACUGCUUUAGUGUGUCAUGCGGUCUUUUUCUCAUCAUUUCUUGCAUUGUUUUGCAGCAGAUUUGUUGGAUUUACACAUCUGUAAUUAUCCUGUCAUUAAAUAAUAAUACACGCA
Leopardus geoffroyi (Geoffroy's cat) is the source of this 2746-nucleotide long non-coding RNA. RefSeq lists it as uncharacterized. The transcript has 2 exons. NCBI's taxonomy places the organism in Eukaryota, Metazoa, Chordata, Mammalia, Carnivora, Felidae. The record is from RefSeq and is a predicted model, not a curated record.